UGAUAUAUAGCUCAGUGGUGGAGUGCAUGCUUAGCAUGCAUGAGGUCCUGGGUUCAAUCCCCAGUACCUCCA
Molecule: transfer RNA, 72 nt
Filed under: Camelus bactrianus (Bactrian camel)
Lineage: Eukaryota; Metazoa; Chordata; Mammalia; Artiodactyla; Camelidae
Also listed under: 2 other names
Rfam family: tRNA
About the family: Transfer RNA (tRNA) molecules are approximately 80 nucleotides in length. Their secondary structure includes four short double-helical elements and three loops (D, anti-codon, and T loops). Further hydrogen bonds mediate the characteristic L-shaped molecular structure. tRNAs have two regions of fundamental functional importance: the anti-codon, which is responsible for specific mRNA codon recognition, and the 3' end, to which the tRNAs corresponding amino acid is attached (by aminoacyl-tRNA synthetases). tRNAs cope with the degeneracy of the genetic code in two manners: having more than one tRNA (with a specific anti-codon) for a particular amino acid; and 'wobble' base-pairing, i.e. permitting non-standard base-pairing at the 3rd anti-codon position.
Source: Rfam by way of RNAcentral